GUGACCCCAUGUCAGGUAGGAUCACCCGCUGAGUUUAAGCAUAAAUCGGAUCCC
Molecule: ribosomal RNA, 54 nt
Filed under: Erythranthe lutea x Erythranthe guttata
Lineage: Eukaryota; Viridiplantae; Streptophyta; Magnoliopsida; Lamiales; Phrymaceae
Description: partial LSU ribosomal RNA
Source: RNAcentral